This 406-nucleotide ribosomal RNA is filed under the name uncultured bacterium. RNAcentral describes it as "partial 16S ribosomal RNA". It matches the Rfam family "Bacterial small subunit ribosomal RNA", at positions 30 to 526 of the family's 1533-position model. The record is from RNAcentral.
AUUGAACGCUGGCGGCAGGCCUAACACAUGCAAGUCGAACGAGUGGCGGACGGGUGAGUAAUGUCUGUGAAACAGCCUGCAGGCGGGGGAUAACUACUGGAAACGGUAGCUAAUAUCGCAUACCCUAAGAUGUUCCCAGAUGGGAUUAGCUUGUUGGUGGGGUAACGUCUCACCAAGGCGACGAGCCCUAGCUGGUCUGAGAGGAGGACCAGCCACACUGGAACUGAGACACGGUCCAGACUCCUACGGGAGGCAGCAGUGGGGAAUAUUGCACAAUGGGCGCAAGCCUGAUGCAGCCAUGCCGCGUGUGUGAAGAAGGCCUUCGGGUUGUAAAGUACUUUCAGCGGGGAGGCGUUACCCGCAGAAGAAGCACCGGCUAACUCCGUGCCAGCAGCCGCGGUAAUAC